Hordeum vulgare subsp. vulgare (domesticated barley) is the source of this 135-nucleotide non-coding RNA. The record is from Rfam. Lineage: Eukaryota; Viridiplantae; Streptophyta; Magnoliopsida; Poales; Poaceae.
GUAGUACUCCCUCCGUCCCAAAAUUCUUGUCUUAGCUUUAUCUAGAAAUGGAUGUAUCUAAAUACUAAAUUUGACUAGAUAUAUUCGUAUCUAAACAAAUAUCAGACAAGAAUUUUAGGACGGAGGGAGUAGUAU